AUGAAGCACUGGAGGAGCAACUUAAAGCCCACGUGUAGUAUGAAGCGGUGGAGGAGCAACUUAAAGCCCACGUGUAGUAUGAAGCGGUGGAGGAGCAACUUAAAGCCCACGUGUAGUAUGAAGCGGUGGAGCAACUUAAAGCCCACGUGUAGUAUGAAGCGCUGGAGGAGCAACUUAAAGCCCACGUGUAGUAUGAAGCGGUGGAGGAGCAACUUAAAGCCCACGUGUAGUAUGAAGCGCUGGAGGAGCAACUUAAAGCCCACGUGUAGUAUGAAGCGGUGGAGGAGCAACUUAAAGCCCACGUGUAGUAUGAAGCGGUGGAGGAGCAACUUAAAGCCCACGUGUAGUAUGAAGCGGUGGAGGAGCAACUUAAAGCCCACGUGUAGUAUGAAGCGCUGGAGGAGCAACUUAAAGCCCACGUGUAGUAUGAAGCGGUGGAGGAGCAACUUAAAGCCCACGUGUAGUAUGAAGCGCUGGAGGAGCAACUUAAAGCCCACGUGUAGUAUGAAGCGGUGGAGGAGCAACUUAAAGCCCACGUGUAGUAUGAAGCGGUGGAGCAACUUAAAGCCCACGUGUAGUAUGAAGCACUGGAGGAGCAACUUAAAGCCCACGUGUAGUAUGAAGCACUGGAGGAGCAACUUAAAGCCCACGUGUAGUAUGAAGCGGUGGAGCAACUUAAAGCCCACGUGUAGUAUGAAGCACUGGAGGAGCAACUUAAAGCCCACGUGUAGUAUGAAGCACUGGAGGAGCAACUUAAAGCCCACGUGUAGUAUGAAGCACUGGAGGAGCAACUUAAAGCCCACGUGUAGUAUGAAGCACUGGAGGAGCAACUUAAAGCCCACGUGUAGUAUGAAGCGGUGGAGGAGCAACUUAAAGCCCACGUGUAGUAUGAAGCACUGGAGGAGCAACUUAAAGCCCACGUGUAGUAUGAAGCACUGGAGGAGCAACUUAAAGCCCACGUGUAGUAUGAAGCGGUGGAGGAGCAACUUAAAGCCCACGUGUAGUAUGAAGCGGUGGAGCAACUUAAAGCCCACGUGUAGUAUGAAGCGCUGGAGGAGCAACUUAAAGCCCACGUGUAGUAUGAAGCGGUGGAGGAGCAACUUAAAGCCCACGUGUAGUAUGAAGCACUGGAGGAGCAACUUAAAGCCCACGUGUAGUAUGAAGCACUGGAGGAGCAACUUAAAGCCCACGUGUAGUAUGAAGCACUGGAGGAGCAACUUAAAGCCCACGUGUAGUAUGAAGCGCUGGAGGAGCAACUUAAAGCCCACGUGUAGUAUGAAGCGGUGGAGGAGCAACUUAAAGCCCACGUGUAGUAUGAAGCGGUGGAGCAACUUAAAGCCCACGUGUAGUAUGAAGCACUGGAGGAGCAACUUAAAGCCCACGUGUAGUAUGAAGCACUGGAGGAGCAACUUAAAGCCCACGUGUAGUAUGAAGCGGUGGAGGAGCAACUUAAAGCCCACGUGUAGUAUGAAGCGGUGGAGGAGCAACUUAAAGCCCACGUGUAGUAUGAAGCGGUGGAGGAGCAACUUAAAGCCCACGUGUAGUAUGAAGCGCUGGAGGAGCAACUUAAAGCCCACGUGUAGUAUGAAGCGGUGGAGGAGCAACUUAAAGCCCACGUGUAGUAUGAAGCGCUGGAGGAGCAACUUAAAGCCCACGUGUAGUAUGAAGCGGUGGAGGAGCAACUUAAAGCCCACGUGUAGUAUGAAGCGGUGGAGCAACUUAAAGCCCACGUGUAGUAUGAAGCACUGGAGGAGCAACUUAAAGCCCACGUGUAGUAUGAAGCACUGGAGGAGCAACUUAAAGCCCACGUGUAGUAUGAAGCGGUGGAGGAGCAACUUAAAGCCCACGUGUAGUAUGAAGCGGUGGAGCAACUUAAAGCCCACGUGUAGUAUGAAGCACUGGAGGAGCAACUUAAAGCCCACGUGUAGUAUGAAGCACUGGAGGAGCAACUUAAAGCCCACGUGUAGUAUGAAGCACUGGAGGAGCAACUUAAAGCCCACGUGUAGUAUGAAGCACUGGAGGAGCAACUUAAAGCCCACGUGUAGUAUGAAGCGGUGGAGGAGCAACUUAAAGCCCACGUGUAGUAUGAAGCACUGGAGGAGCAACUUAAAGCCCACGUGUAGUAUGAAGCGGUGGAGGAGCAACUUAAAGCCCACGUGUAGUAUGAAGCGGUGGAGCAACUUAAAGCCCACGUGUAGUAUGAAGCGCUGGAGGAGCAACUUAAAGCCCACGUGUAGUAUGAAGCGGUGGAGGAGCAACUUAAAGCCCACGUGUAGUAUGAAGCACUGGAGGAGCAACUUAAAGCCCACGUGUAGUAUGAAGCACUGGAGGAGCAACUUAAAGCCCACGUGUAGUAUGAAGCACUGGAGGAGCAACUUAAAGCCCACGUGUAGUAUGAAGCACUGGAGGAGCAACUUAAAGCCCACGUGUAGUAUGAAGCACUGGAGGAGCAACUUAAAGCCCACGUGUAGUAUGAAGCGCUGGAGGAGCAACUUAAAGCCCACGUGUAGUAUGAAGCGGUGGAGGAGCAACUUAAAGCCCACGUGUAGUAUGAAGCGGUGGAGCAACUUAAAGCCCACGUGUAGUAUGAAGCACUGGAGGAGCAACUUAAAGCCCACGUGUAGUAUGAAGCGGUGGAGGAGCAACUUAAAGCCCACGUGUAGUAUGAAGCACUGGAGGAGCAACUUAAAGCCCACGUGUAGUAUGAAGCGGUGGAGGAGCAACUUAAAGCCCACGUGUAGUAUGAAGCGGUGGAGCAACUUAAAGCCCACGUGUAGUAUGAAGCGCUGGAGGAGCAACUUAAAGCCCACGUGUAGUAUGAAGCGGUGGAGGAGCAACUUAAAGCCCACGUGUAGUAUGAAGCACUGGAGGAGCAACUUAAAGCCCACGUGUAGUAUGAAGCACUGGAGGAGCAACUUAAAGCCCACGUGUAGUAUGAAGCACUGGAGGAGCAACUUAAAGCCCACGUGUAGUAUGAAGCACUGGAGGAGCAACUUAAAGCCCACGUGUAGUAUGAAGCACUGGAGGAGCAACUUAAAGCCCACGUGUAGUAUGAAGCGCUGGAGGAGCAACUUAAAGCCCACGUGUAGUAUGAAGUGGUGGAGGAGCAACUUAAAGCCCACGUGUAGUAUGAAGCGGUGGAGCAACUUAAAGCCCACGUGUAGUAUGAAGCGGUGGAGGAGCAACUUAAAGCCCACGUGUAGUAUGAAGCGGUGGAGGAGCAACUUAAAGCCCACGUGUAGUAUGAAGCGGUGGAGGAGCAACUUAAAGCCCACGUGUAGUAUGAAGCGGUGGAGGAGCAACUUAAAGCCCACGUGUAGUAUGAAGCGGUGGAGGAGCAACUUAAAGCCCACGUGUAGUAUGAAGCACUGGAGGAGCAACUUAAAGCCCACGUGUAGUAUGAAGCGGUGGAGGAGCAACUUAAAGCCCACGUGUAGUAUGAAGCGGUGGAGGAGCGGUGGGCCUCGGGACACCGUGCUACUUGUUUCAGAUCGUUUUGUCAGUUUGGCAAAAACAAUUCUUUGA
This is a long non-coding RNA of Cyclopterus lumpus (lumpfish), 3525 nucleotides long. NCBI's taxonomy places the organism in Eukaryota, Metazoa, Chordata, Actinopteri, Perciformes, Cyclopteridae. The record is from Ensembl.